AAAAUGUCUCUUUUGCACAUCCUCCUGUCAAAAUGCCAUCUGCCAUAUGGUGAUGUGGCCGUCACUAGAGGCAGCACAGAUGGGACCACCGAUCUUAGACUUCUAACCUUCAAAACGCUGCUAAAUAAAGACUCAGAACCACAAGUCCUGGAGCUGAAGAGCCGGCUAGUCAAGCCAACCAGCUUGUUCCUGAGAUUUUGUGCUGUCUGAGUGCCGGGAUGGCAGGCUAAGGAAAGAUUUAGAGUGUGCCCAGAGGAGUGUGGGAGGAGCUGGAGAGAUGGAUGCACACACAGAGUAACCAGAGUCUCAAGGAAGGAAGCCCCAGAGGAGAGGAGCAGAACACAGUCAUCCAGAAG
This is a non-coding RNA of Peromyscus maniculatus bairdii (prairie deer mouse), 356 nucleotides long. The record is from RefSeq and is a predicted model, not a curated record. NCBI's taxonomy places the organism in Eukaryota, Metazoa, Chordata, Mammalia, Rodentia, Cricetidae.